UCGAGGGGCAGCGGGGGAGUAGCAAUACUCCCGCCGGCGACCGGCGCUCGGGUGAGUAACACGUAUGAAACCUGCCCGUAGCAGGGGGAUAAGCGGAAGAAAUUCCGUCUAAUACCGCGUAACAACCCAUGGAGGCAUCUCUGUGGGUUUAAAGGAAGCGAUUCCGGCUACGGAUGGUCAUGCGUCGCAUUAGCUUGUUGGCGGGGUAACGGCCCACCAAGGCGACGAUGCGUAGGGGUUCUGAGAGGAAGGUCCCCCACACUGGUACUGAGACACGGACCAGACUCCUACGGGAGGCAGCAGUGAGGAAUAUUGGUCAAUGGCCGCAGGGCUGAACCAGCCAAGUCGCGUGAGGGAUGACGGUCCUAUGGAUUGUAAACCUCUUUUGUCAGGGAGCAAAGGGCGCCACGUGUGGCGCUUUGCGAGUACCUGAAGAAAAAGCAUCGGCUAACUCCGUGCCAGCAGCCGCGGUAAUACGGAGGAUGCGAGCGUUAUCCGGAUUUAUUGGGUUUAAAGGGUGCGCAGGCGGAAUGUCAAGUCAGCGGUAAAAUUUCGGGGCUCAACCCCGUCGUGCCGUUGAAACUGGCGUUCUUGAGUGAGCGAGAAGUAUGCGGAAUGCGUGGUGUAGCGGUGAAAUGCAUAGAUAUCACGCAGAACUCCGAUUGCGAAGGCAGCAUACCGGCGCUCAACUGACGCUCAUGCACGAAAGCGUGGGUAUCGAACAGGAUUAGAUACCCUGGUAGUCCACGCAGUAAACGAUGAAUACUAACUGUCCGGGCAGAAUGAUGCCUGGGUGGUAC
RNAcentral lists this ribosomal RNA (800 nucleotides) under uncultured bacterium. RNAcentral's name for it is "bacterial SSU rRNA". It matches the Rfam family "Bacterial small subunit ribosomal RNA", at positions 62 to 849 of the family's 1533-position model. The record is from RNAcentral.